ACGAACGCUGGCGGCGUGCUUAACACAUGCCAGUCGUACGGUAAGGCCCUUUCGGGGGUACACGAGUGGCGAACGGGUGAGUAACACGUGAGUAACCUGCCCACAACUUUGGGAUAACGCUAGGAAACUGGUGCUAAUACUGGAUAUGUGCUCCUGCUGCAUGGUGGGGGUUGGAAAGCUCCGGCGGUUGUGGAUGGACUCGCGGCCUAUCAGCUUGUUGGUGGGGUAGUGGCCUACCAAGGCGGCGACGGGUAGCCGGCCUGAGAGGGUGACCGGCCACAUUGGGACUGAGAUACGGCCCAGACUCCUACGGGAGGCAGCAGUGGGGAAUAUUGCACAAUGGGCGCAAGCCUGAUGCAGCAACGCCGCGUGCGGGAUGACGGCCUUCGGGUUGUAAACCGCUUUCAGCAGGGACGAAGCUUUUUGUGACGGUACCUGCAGAAGAAGCACCGGCUAACUACGUG
RNAcentral lists this ribosomal RNA (464 nucleotides) under uncultured bacterium. RNAcentral's name for it is "partial 16S ribosomal RNA". It matches the Rfam family "Bacterial small subunit ribosomal RNA", at positions 29 to 507 of the family's 1533-position model. The record is from RNAcentral.